This 717-nucleotide ribosomal RNA is filed under the name uncultured Nitrospirota bacterium. Its description in RNAcentral is "bacterial SSU rRNA". It matches the Rfam family "Bacterial small subunit ribosomal RNA", at positions 8 to 662 of the family's 1533-position model. The record is from RNAcentral. Lineage: Bacteria; Pseudomonadati; Nitrospirota.
AGAGUUUGAUCCUGGCUCAGAACGAACGCUGGCGGCGUGCCUAACACAUGCAAGUCGAACGGGGUUAACAGCAGCACUCAGCAGUUAGCAUUGAGCGGGCAGCAAAGGAGAGGGAAUCUUUUUUAGCUGACAGCUAAGAGCUGAAAGCUGAGUGCUGUUGUUAACCUAGUGGCGGACGGGUGAGUAACACGUAGGCAACCUACCCUCAAGCGGGGGACAACAUCGGGAAACCGGUGCUAAUACCGCAUAAGACCACGAACUGGGAUGUUUGUGGUAAAAGGAGCAAUUCACUUGAGGAGGGGCCUGCGGCCUAUCAGGUAGUUGGCGGGGUAACGGCCCACCAAGCCUAAGACGGGUAGCCGGACUGAGAGGUUGAACGGCCACACUGGAACUGAGACACGGUCCAGACUCCUACGGGAGGCAGCAGUGGGGAAUUUUGCGCAAUGGGGGAAACCCUGACGCAGCGACGCCGCGUGAAGGAUGAAGGUCUUCGGAUUGUAAACUUCUUUUGUUGGGGACGAUAAUGACGGUACCCGAUGAAUAAGCCACGGCUAACUCUGUGCCAGCAGCCGCGGUAAGACAGAGGUGGCAAGCGUUGUUCGGAAUUACUGGGCUUAAAGGGCGCGUAGGUGUCCCGGCAAGUCAGAUGUGGAAUCUCUCCGCUUAACGGGGAAAUUGCAUCUGAAACUUUCGGGAUUGAGUAAGCGAGGGGAUGGC